UGGGGAAUUUUGGACAAUGGGCGCAAGCCUGAUCCAGCCAUGCCGCGUGCGGGAAGAAGGCCUUCGGGUUGUAAACCGCUUUUGUCAGGGAAGAAAUCUUCUGAGUUAAUACCUCGGGAGGAUGACGGUACCUGAAGAAUAAGCACCGGCUAACUACGUGCCAGCAGCCGCGGUAAUACGUAGGGUGCAAGCGUUAAUCGGAAUUACUGGGCGUAAAGCGUGCGCAGGCGGUUUUGUAAGACAGAGGUGAAAUCCCCGGGCUCAACCUGGGAACUGCCUUUGUGACUGCAAGGCUUGAGUGCGGCAGAGGGGGAUGGAAUUCCGCGUGUAGCAGUGAAAUGCGUAGAUAUGCGGAGGAACACCGAUGGCGAAGGCAAUCCCCUGGGCCUGCACUGACGCUCAUGCACGAAAGCGUGGGGAGCAAACAGGAUUAGAUAGCCCUGGUAGUCCACGCCCUAAACGAUGUCAACUGGUUGUUGGGAGGGUUCCUUCUCAGUAACGUAGCUAACGCGUGAAGUUGACCGCCUGGGGAGUACGGCC
Molecule: ribosomal RNA, 540 nt
Filed under: uncultured bacterium
Lineage: Bacteria
Description: partial 16S ribosomal RNA
Rfam family: Bacterial small subunit ribosomal RNA
Source: RNAcentral